Molecule: long non-coding RNA, 918 nt
Organism: Populus nigra (black poplar)
Lineage: Eukaryota; Viridiplantae; Streptophyta; Magnoliopsida; Malpighiales; Salicaceae
Exons: 2
Source: RefSeq, a predicted model, not a curated record
CUGAGGAUGAUAUAGAAGCACAUAUUUUGGUACUACACAUCUGUGCCUUAAGCUGGUUUCAGAUUUUCAGGUGCUUCAGGGAUUAACUAGUCCUUUAAAAGUAAUCAUCACCCAUCCAAUUCCCCAUGUCAGAUGUCUUUUGGAUUUCUUGCUGAACAAUAGAAGAUGGAAAAUGCUUACCUUUCGGUUUCCAAACACUUGUUCUCUGGGACUUGCACAUACAAGCCUGGAGCAUAUCCAUGGUCAGCUUUUAUAUUGCUUCGCUUCUGAGUUAUUCUGGUGUUUUUAUGGUUGGCAGGGGUAUGAUGAGUACAUGAAUUUGGUUUUGGUUUUGGAAGAUGUUGAAGAAGUCAAUAUCAAGAAAAAGAGCAGAAAGUCUUUAGGAAGGAUUCUUCUUAAGGGAGACAACAUUACUCUGAUGAUGAACACGUAACAAAUUGGUAACCUCAAGAGAUAAACAUUCGCAUCAUGAUUGAUGAGAAAUAUUUCUUCAGCUAAGUAAUUGGCAUAGCAACUUCACUUUCAGAGAUUAUUCUGUAGGUUCUACUGUUUUUAUUCAUGAAUAUUUUCAUGGCAAUAAUUGCUAUGAAACAAUGCACCAUCUCUUCAACUACUGAGCUUUCCUUUAUAUUUGCAGCUGUAAUUUGGGAUAGCAAUGUCUCUGACAUGAAGUUUGGAUGGCUUGAUCUCUUUGCAUCAAGAAUGUCAAGUUACCUAAAUGUAUUAUUCACAAGGUGACUACAAGUAGACACAUUGGAUGGUGCUGGGCCCAUCAAAGCUUGAUCUGUUUUUUGUUUGUUGUUCAGUUGAGGAUUUGUAGAUUGUUCCGUUCGAUCCUCUGUCCUUGGAUCAUGUAUGGGUGUUUUGACAUGUACUUAUUUCAUUCAUAAUAAAUUACUUUCCAUUAUUAGUGCUUUA